UAAAGGAGCGAUCCGGUGACGGAUGGGCAUGCGUGACAUUAGCUAGUCGGCGGGGUAACGGCCCACCGAGGCGACGAUGUCUAGGGGUUCUGAGAGGAAGGUCCCCCACACUGGUACUGAGACACGGACCAGACUCCUACGGGAGGCAGCAGUGAGGAAUAUUGGUCAAUGGGCUUACGCCUGAACCAGCCAAGUCGCGUGAGGGAAGACUGCCCUAUGGGUUGUAAACCUCUUUUGUCAGGGAGCAACGCCGGCUACGUGUAGCCGGACUGAGAGUACCUGAAGAAAAAGCAUCGGCUAACUCCGUGCCAGCAGCCGCGGUAAUACGGAGGAUGCGAGCGUUAUCCGGAUUUAUUGGGUUUAAAGGGUGCGUAGGCGGAAUGCCAAGUCAGCGGUAAAAUCGCGGGGCUCAACCUCGCUCCGCCGUUGAAACUGGCGUUCUUGAGUGGGCGAGAAGUAUGCGGAAUGCGUGGUGUAGCGGUGAAAUGCAUAGAUAUCACGCAGAACUCCGAUUGCGAAGGCAGCAUACCGGCGCCCAACUGACGCUGAAGCACGAAAGCGUGGGUAUCGAACAGGAUUAGAUACCCUGGUAGUCCACGCAGUAAACGAUGAAUACUAGCUGUUCGGGGCAAAUGAGCCUUGA
Molecule: ribosomal RNA, 643 nt
Filed under: uncultured bacterium
Lineage: Bacteria
Description: bacterial SSU rRNA
Rfam family: Bacterial small subunit ribosomal RNA
Source: RNAcentral